RNAcentral lists this ribosomal RNA (511 nucleotides) under uncultured Methanosarcina sp. RNAcentral describes it as "bacterial SSU rRNA". It matches the Rfam family "Archaeal small subunit ribosomal RNA", at positions 380 to 891 of the family's 1478-position model. The record is from RNAcentral. Lineage: Archaea; Methanobacteriati; Methanobacteriota; Methanomicrobia; Methanosarcinales; Methanosarcinaceae.
ACCGAGUGCUAGCAUCAUAUGCUGGCUGUCCAGGUGUGUAAAAUACACCUGUUAGCAAGGGCCGGGCAAGACCGGUGCCAGCCGCCGCGGUAACACCGGCGGCCCGAGUGGUGAUCGUGAUUAUUGGGUCUAAAGGGUCCGUAGCCGGUUUGGUCAGUCCUCCGGGAAAUCUGAUAGCUCAACUAUUAGGCUUUCGGGGGAUACUGCCAGGCUUGGAACCGGGAGAGGUAAGAGGUACUACAGGGGUAGGAGUGAAAUCUUGUAAUCCCUGUGGGACCACCUGUGGCGAAGGCGUCUUACCAGAACGGGUUCGACGGUGAGGGACGAAAGCUGGGGGCACGAACCGGAUUAGAUACCCGGGUAGUCCCAGCCGUAAACGAUGCUCGCUAGGUGUCAGGCAUGGCGCGACCGUGUCUGGUGCCGCAGGGAAGCCGUGAAGCGAGCCACCUGGGAAGUACGGCCGCAAGGCUGAAACUUAAAGGAAUUGGCGGGGGAGCACAACAACGGGUGG